AUUGAACGCUGGCGGAAUGCUUUACACAUGCAAGUCGAACGGCAGCACGGGGGCAGCCCUGGUGGCGAGUGGCGAACGGGUGAGUAAUACAUCGGAACGUGCCCGGUCGUGGGGGAUAACGUAGCGAAAGUUACGCUAAUACCGCAUACGAUCUGAGGAUGAAAGCGGGGGACCUUCGGGCCUCGCGCGAUCGGAGCGGCCGAUGUCAGAUUAGGUAGUUGGAGGGGUAAAGGCCUACCAAGCCGACGAUCUGUAGCUGGUCUGAGAGGACGACCAGCCACACUGGGACUGAGACACGGCCCAGACCCCUACGGGAGGCAGCAGUGGGGAAUUUUGGACAAUGGGCGCAAGCCUGAUCCAGCCAUUCCGCGUGCAGGACGAAGGCCUUCGGGUUGUAAACUGCUUUUGUACGGAACGAAAAGGCUCUGGCUAAUACCUGGGGCUCAUGACGGUACCGUAAGAAUAAGCACCGGCUAACUACGUG
Molecule: ribosomal RNA, 484 nt
Filed under: uncultured bacterium
Lineage: Bacteria
Description: partial 16S ribosomal RNA
Rfam family: Bacterial small subunit ribosomal RNA
Source: RNAcentral